UAGCUCAGUGGUAGAGCGCAUGCUUAGCAUGCACGAGGUCCUGGGUUCAGUCCCCAG
RNAcentral lists this transfer RNA (57 nucleotides) under Camelus bactrianus (Bactrian camel). It matches the Rfam family "tRNA", at positions 8 to 63 of the family's 71-position model. Rfam says of the family: Transfer RNA (tRNA) molecules are approximately 80 nucleotides in length. Their secondary structure includes four short double-helical elements and three loops (D, anti-codon, and T loops). Further hydrogen bonds mediate the characteristic L-shaped molecular structure. tRNAs have two regions of fundamental functional importance: the anti-codon, which is responsible for specific mRNA codon recognition, and the 3' end, to which the tRNAs corresponding amino acid is attached (by aminoacyl-tRNA synthetases). tRNAs cope with the degeneracy of the genetic code in two manners: having more than one tRNA (with a specific anti-codon) for a particular amino acid; and 'wobble' base-pairing, i.e. permitting non-standard base-pairing at the 3rd anti-codon position. RNAcentral also lists the same sequence under 2 other names. Lineage: Eukaryota; Metazoa; Chordata; Mammalia; Artiodactyla; Camelidae. The record is from Rfam by way of RNAcentral.